Molecule: ribosomal RNA, 580 nt
Filed under: uncultured fungus
Lineage: Eukaryota; Fungi
Description: eukaryotic LSU rRNA
Rfam family: Eukaryotic large subunit ribosomal RNA
Source: RNAcentral
AUAUCAAUAAGCGGAGGAAAAGAAACCAACAGGGAUUGCCCUAGUAACGGCGAGUGAAGCGGCAACAGCUCAAAUUUGAAAUCUGGCCUCGUGCCCGAGUUGUAAUUUGCAGAGGCCCGUUGGGCGCGGUAACUGCUGAGUCCCCUGGAAUGGGGCGCCACAGAGGGUGAGAGCCCCGUACGGCGGUAGUCCAAGCCCAUGUAUCGGUCCCUCGACGAGUCGAGUAGUUUGGGAAUGCUGCUCAAAAUGGGAGGUAAAUUUCUUCUAAAGCUAAAUACUGGCCAGAGACCGAUAGCGCACAAGUAGAGUGAUCGAAAGAUGAAAAGCACUUUGAAAAGAGGGUUAAAAAGUACGUGAAAUUGCUGAAAGGGAAGCGCCUAUGACCAGACUUGCGCCCGGUUGAUCAUCCAGCGUUCUCGCUGGUGCACUCUGCCGGGCACAGGCCAGCAUCGGCUUCGGCGGGGGCAUAAAAGCUUCGGGAAUGUGGCUCCUCCGGGAGUGUUAUAGCCCGUCGCUGAAUACCCUCGCCGGGGCCGAGGACCGCGCAUUGCAAGGAUGCUGGCGUAAUGGUCAUCAGCGA